Molecule: long non-coding RNA, 591 nt
Filed under: Brassica napus (rape)
Lineage: Eukaryota; Viridiplantae; Streptophyta; Magnoliopsida; Brassicales; Brassicaceae
Description: long non-coding RNA (BNAP_LNC021992)
Source: RNAcentral
CGAUAGAAAGACAAGAAGCAGACGAGAAGUGGCAGAGAGGGUAAUUAAAGUUUGAUGGGGACAACAAAACAUUUUACCUCUUGGUUUUAACCAAAUGCAUGUGGUUUUCGGUUUCUACAGACACUGAGGACAAAUUGGGAAUUGGGAUAAUUAAUUUUUACCAUAUAGUUUUGUUUUUUUUCUUAAACUUUUAAUUAACUAGUUUAUAUAAUUUGAUUAUUUUGAAAUGAGUCAAGUGACGUGAAUAUCAUUUAGAUCCAAUGCAUGUGAAUCAAUUGAGUACAUAUUGAAAUCAUAGAUAUGAAAGAAAAAUGAUUAAGAGAAAAAGACAAAAAUAACACUAAAUCAAGUUUUUGUUCUCAAACUAACGCUCAAGGUCAAAAGUCACAAAAAUAGUACUUAAUGUUUUAUCAAAAGUCAGGAUAGGGUUUAGAGUUAAAUGGUGGGAUUUAGGAUUUAGGGUUUAGGGUUUAGAGUUUAGGAUUUAGGGUUUAGAGUUUAGAGUUUAGGGUUUAGGGUUUAGGGUUUAGGGUUUAGGUUUAAGGGUUUAGGGUUUAGAGUUUAGGGUUUAGGGUUUAGAGUUGAGAAAUG